RNAcentral lists this ribosomal RNA (2296 nucleotides) under human gut metagenome. RNAcentral's name for it is "bacterial LSU rRNA". It matches the Rfam family "Bacterial large subunit ribosomal RNA", at positions 288 to 2595 of the family's 2925-position model. The record is from RNAcentral.
CUUGUUGGGGUUGUAGGACUCCGAUAUGGUAGUCUGUUAGUAUAGUUGAAGGAUUUGGAAAAUUCCGCUAAAGAGGGUGAAAGCCCCGUAGACGAAAUGCUGACAACACCUAGGAGGAUCCUGAGUACGGCGGAACACGAGAAAUUCCGUCGGAAUCCGCGGGGACCAUCCCGCAAGGCUAAAUACUCCCUAGUGACCGAUAGUGAACCAGUACCGUGAGGGAAAGGUGAAAAGCACCCCGGAAGGGGAGUGAAAUAGAUCCUGAAACCGUGUGCCUACAACAAGUCAAAGCUCGUUAAUGAGUGAUGGCGUGCCUUUUGUAGAAUGAACCGGCGAGUUACGAUUGCAUGCGAGGUUAAGUCGAAGAGACGGAGCCGUAGCGAAAGCGAGUCUGAAUAGGGCGAAUGAGUAUGUAGUCGUAGACCCGAAACCAUGUGAUCUACCCAUGUCCAGGUUGAAGGUGCGGUAAAACGCACUGGAGGACCGAACCCACGUACGUUGAAAAGUGCGGGGAUGAGGUGUGGGUAGCGGAGAAAUUCCAAACGAACUUGGAGAUAGCUGGUUCUCUCCGAAAUAGCUUUAGGGCUAGCCUCGGAAUUGAGAAUGAUGGAGGUAGAGCACUGUUUGGACUAGGGGCCCAUCUCGGGUUACCGAAUUCAGAUAAACUCCGAAUGCCAUUCAUUUAUAUCCGGGAGUCAGACUGCGAGUGAUAAGAUCCGUAGUCGAAAGGGAAACAGCCCAGACCACCAGCUAAGGUCCCAAAAUAUAUGUUAAGUGGAAAAGGAUGUGGGGUUGCACAGACAACUAGGAUGUUGGCUUAGAAGCAGCCACCAUUUAAAGAGUGCGUAAUAGCUCACUAGUCGAGUGACCCUGCGCCGAAAAUGUACCGGGGCUAAACAUAUUACCGAAGCUGUGGACUACACCAUUAGGUGUAGUGGUAGGAGAGCGUUCUAAGGGCGUUGAAGGUCGAUCGUGAGGACGGCUGGAGCGCUUAGAAGUGAGAAUGCCGGUAUGAGUAGCGAAAGACAGGUGAGAAUCCUGUCCACCGUAUGACUAAGGUUUCCUGGGGAAGGCUCGUCCGCCCAGGGUUAGUCGGGACCUAAGCCGAGGCCGAUAGGCGUAGGCGAUGGACAACAGGUUGAUAUUCCUGUACCAGUUGUUUUUGUUUGAGCAAUGGAGGGACGCAGUAGGCUAAGGAAUGCAUGCGAUUGGAAGUGCAUGUCCAAGCAAUGAGUCUUGAGUAGAGUUAAAUGCUUUACUCUUUAAGGACAAGUUGUGACGGGGAGCGAAAUAAUAGUAGCGAAGUUCCUGAUGUCACACUGCCAAGAAAAGCUUCUAGUGAGAAAACAACUGCCCGUACCGUAAACCGACACAGGUAGUCGAGGAGAGUAUCCUAAGGUGAGCGAGCGAACUCUCGUUAAGGAACUCGGCAAAAUGACCCCGUAACUUCGGGAGAAGGGGUGCUGACUUCGGUCAGCCGCAGUGAAUAGGCCCAAGCGACUGUUUAUCAAAAACACAGGUCUCUGCAAAAUCGUAAGAUGAAGUAUAGGGGCUGACGCCUGCCCGGUGCUGGAAGGUUAAGAGGAUGGGUUAGCUUCGGCGAAGCUCAGAAUUGAAGCCCCAGUAAACGGCGGCCGUAACUAUAACGGUCCUAAGGUAGCGAAAUUCCUUGUCGGGUAAGUUCCGACCCGCACGAAAGGCGUAACGAUUUGGGCACUGUCUCAACGAGAGACUCGGUGAAAUUUUAGUACCUGUGAAGAUGCAGGUUACCCGCGACAGGACGGAAAGACCCCAUGGAGCUUUACUGUAGUUUGAUAUUGAGUGUUUGUACCACAUGUACAGGAUAGGUAGGAGCCGAUGAGACCGGAACGCUAGUUUCGGAGGAGGCGCUGGUGGGAUACUACCCUUGUGUUAUGAACCCUCUAACCCGCACCACUAAUCGUGGUGGGAGACAGUGUCAGAUGGGCAGUUUGACUGGGGCGGUCGCCUCCUAAAAGGUAACGGAGGCGCCCAAAGGUUCCCUCAGAAUGGUUGGAAAUCAUUCGAAGAGUGUAAAGGCAGAAGGGAGCUUGACUGCGAGACCUACAAGUCGAGCAGGGACGAAAGUCGGGCUUAGUGAUCCGGUGGUUCCGCAUGGAAGGGCCAUCGCUCAACGGAUAAAAGCUACCCUGGGGAUAACAGGCUUAUCUCCCCCAAGAGUCCACAUCGACGGGGAGGUUUGGCACCUCGAUGUCGGCUCGUCGCAUCCUGGGGCUGUAGUCGGUCCCAAGGGUUGGGCUGUUCGCCCAUUAAAGCG